RNAcentral lists this ribosomal RNA (911 nucleotides) under Bipolaris secalis. RNAcentral describes it as "LSU rRNA". It matches the Rfam family "Eukaryotic large subunit ribosomal RNA", at positions 36 to 965 of the family's 3401-position model. Lineage: Eukaryota; Fungi; Ascomycota; Dothideomycetes; Pleosporales; Pleosporaceae. The record is from RNAcentral.
GAGCAUAUCAAUAAGCGGAGGAAAAGAAACCAACAGGGAUUGCCCUAGUAACGGCGAGUGAAGCGGCAACAGCUCAAAUUUGAAAUCUGGCUCUUUCAGAGUCCGAGUUGUAAUUUGCAGAGGGCGCUUUGGCUUUGGCAGCGGUCCAAGUUCCUUGGAACAGGACGUCACAGAGGGUGAGAAUCCCGUACGUGGUCGCUAGCUAUUGCCGUGUAAAGCCCCUUCGACGAGUCGAGUUGUUUGGGAAUGCAGCUCUAAAUGGGAGGUAAAUUUCUUCUAAAGCUAAAUAUUGGCCAGAGACCGAUAGCGCACAAGUAGAGUGAUCGAAAGAUGAAAAGCACUUUGGAAAGAGAGUCAAACAGCACGUGAAAUUGUUGAAAGGGAAGCGCUUGCAGCCAGACUUGCUUGCAGUUGCUCAUCCGGGCUUUUGCCCGGUGCACUCUUCUGCAGGCAGGCCAGCAUCAGUUUGGGCGGUGGGAUAAAGGUCUCUGUCACGUACCUCUCUUCGGGGAGGCCUUAUAGGGGAGACGACAUACCACCAGCCUAGACUGAGGUCCGCGCAUCUGCUAGGAUGCUGGCGUAAUGGCUGUAAGCGGCCCGUCUUGAAACACGGACCAAGGAGUCUAACAUCUAUGCGAGUGUUUGGGUGUCAAGCCCGAGCGCGUAAUGAAAGUGAACGGAGGUGGGAACCCGCAAGGGUGCACCAUCGACCGAUCCUGAAGUUUACGGAAGGAUUUGAGUAAGAGCAUGGCUGUUGGGACCCGAAAGAUGGUGAACUAUGCUUGAAUAGGGUGAAGCCAGAGGAAACUCUGGUGGAGGCUCGCAGCGGUUCUGACGUGCAAAUCGAUCGUCAAAUUUGGGCAUAGGGGCGAAAGACUAAUCGAACUAUCUAGUAGCUGGUUCCUGCCGAU